AGGUCUUGCCUGCCCAGUGAUAAGUUAAACGGCCGCGGUAUUUUGACCGUGCGAAGGUAGCGCAAUCACUUGUCUUUUAAAUGAAGACCUGUAUGAAUGGCGAAACGAGGGCUUAACUGUCUCCCCUUUCAAGUCAAUGAAAUUGAUCUGCCCGUGCAGAAGCGGACAUAUAAAUACAAGACGAGAAGACCCUUUGGAGCUUAAGAUAAAAUAUCAACUACGUCAAGGACACAAAUCAAACUAAGUAACACCUGAUAACUAUCUUCGGUUGGGGCGACCACGGGAGAAAACGAAGCUCCCAUGCAGACUGGGGUUAUACCCUAAAACCAAGAAAGACAUUUCUAAGCCACAGAACAUCUGACCAUAAAGAUCCGGCCACCCGCCGAUCAACGGACCAAGUUACCCUAGGGAUAACAGCGCAAUCCCCUUUCUGAGUCCAUAUCGACAAGGGGGUUUACGACCUCGAUGUUGGAUCAGGACAUCCUAUUGGUGCAGCCGCUAUUAAGGGUUCGUUUGUUCAACGAUUAAAGUCCUACGUG
Molecule: ribosomal RNA, 539 nt
Filed under: Anduzedoras oxyrhynchus
Lineage: Eukaryota; Metazoa; Chordata; Actinopteri; Siluriformes; Doradidae
Description: partial large subunit ribosomal RNA
Rfam family: Bacterial large subunit ribosomal RNA
Source: RNAcentral